RNAcentral lists this ribosomal RNA (519 nucleotides) under Oncomelania hupensis hupensis. RNAcentral's name for it is "partial large subunit ribosomal RNA". It matches the Rfam family "Bacterial large subunit ribosomal RNA", at positions 1811 to 2605 of the family's 2925-position model. The record is from RNAcentral. Lineage: Eukaryota; Metazoa; Mollusca; Gastropoda; Littorinimorpha; Pomatiopsidae.
AAACAUGGCUCUUUGAGAUUUAUAUAUAAAGAGUCGGGCCUGCCCAGUGAUGUAUUUUUAACGGCCGCGGUACUCUGACCGUGCGAAGGUAGCAUAAUCAUUUGCCCUAUAAUUGAGGGCUAGUAUGAAUGGUUUGACAUGAGCAUAACUGUCUCCUUAAAAUUUUAUAAAAUUUGGUUUUUAGGUGAAGAAACCUAAAUUAAAUUGAAAGACAAGAAGACCCUAUCGAGCUUUAGAAUAAUUAAUUAAAAAAUAUAAAUAAAACAAUUAAUUUUAAUUAAAAACUUUGGUUGGGGCGACUGAGGAACAUAUAAAGCUUCCUUAAUUAAACAAUGCUGAUAAGCAAUGAUCCAGGAAAUCUGAUUAAAAAAAUUAGUUACCGUAGGGAUAACAGCAUAAUCUUUUUUGAGAGCUCUUAUCGAAAAAAAGGUUUGUGACCUCGAUGUUGGACUAGGAUAUCCUAAAGAUGUAGAAGUCUUUAAUGGUUGCUCUGUUCGAGCAUAAAAAUCCUACGUGAUC